GAUGAACGCUGGCGGCGUGCCUAAUACAUGCAAGUCGAGCGAACAGACGAGGAGCUUGCUCCUCUGACGUUAGCGGCGGACGGGUGAGUAACACGUGGAUAACCUACCUAUAAGACUGGGAUAACUUCGGGAAACCGGAGCUAAUACCGGAUAAUAUAUUGAACCGCAUGGUUCAAUAGUUCAAGACGGUUUUGCUGUCACUUAUAGAUGGAUCCGCGCCGCAUUAUCUAGUUGGUAAGGUAACGGCUUACCAAGGCAACGAUGCGUAUCCGACCUGAGAGGGUGAUCGGCCACACUGGAACUGAGACACGGUCCAGACUCCUACGGGAGGCAGCAGUAGGGAAUCUUCCGCAAUGGGCGAAAGCCUGACGGAGCAACGCCGCGUGAGUGAUGAAGGUCUUCGGAUCGUAAAACUCUGUUAUUAGGGAAGAACAAAUGUGUAAGUAACUAUGCACGUCUUGACGGUACCUAAUCAGAAAGCCACGGCUAACUACGUG
RNAcentral lists this ribosomal RNA (497 nucleotides) under uncultured bacterium. RNAcentral describes it as "partial 16S ribosomal RNA". It matches the Rfam family "Bacterial small subunit ribosomal RNA", at positions 28 to 507 of the family's 1533-position model. The record is from RNAcentral.